RNAcentral lists this ribosomal RNA (484 nucleotides) under uncultured bacterium. Its description in RNAcentral is "partial 16S ribosomal RNA". It matches the Rfam family "Bacterial small subunit ribosomal RNA", at positions 29 to 507 of the family's 1533-position model. The record is from RNAcentral.
AUUGAACGCUGGCGGAAUGCUUUACACAUGCAAGUCGAGCGGCAGCGCGGCCUUCGGGCUGGCGGCGAGCGGCGAACGGGUGAGUAAUGCAUCGGAACAUGCCCAGUCGUGGGGGAUAACACUUCGAAAGAAGUGCUAAUACCGCAUACGUCCUGAGGGGGAAAGCGGGGGAUCGCAAGACCUCGCGCGAUUGGAGUGGCCGAUGUCAGAUUAGCUAGUUGGUGGGGUAAAGGCCUACCAAGGCGACGAUCUGUAGCUGGUCUGAGAGGAUGAUCAGCCACACUGGGACUGAGACACGGCCCAGACUCCUACGGGAGGCAGCAGUGGGGAAUUUUGGACAAUGGGGGCAACCCUGAUCCAGCCAUUCCGCGUGAGUGAAGAAGGCCUUCGGGUUGUAAAGCUCUUUCGGCAGGGACGAAACGGUGGGCUCUAACAUAGUCCGCUAAUGACGGUACCCGAAGAAGAAGCACCGGCUAACUACGUG